This 1065-nucleotide long non-coding RNA is filed under the name Bos indicus x Bos taurus (hybrid cattle). Its description in RNAcentral is "lncRNA (ENSBIXG00000017795.1)". Lineage: Eukaryota; Metazoa; Chordata; Mammalia; Artiodactyla; Bovidae. The record is from RNAcentral.
AAUUAGAUCCCACAUGAGUGACAUCAUAUGACGCUUGUCUUUGUCUGACUUACUUCACUAAGUGUGAGUCCUUUUUGAUUCUCUGAAUCAUCUGGGCUCGAGGAGGUCACUGCAAAUCCCUCCAUCAGGAAGCUGAGGUUGGACCUCCUUUUCCUCUCCCUAUGGCCUGAGACUCCAGCCCUGGUAUUUUCUGUGAAUAUAAAAUCCAUUAUUUUGCCAACACUCCUCUGUUCUCAGACCUUGGAAAGUUACUUGAGAAUGAAUCUUCAACCCCUUCAAAGUAAGUAAAUGUGUUUUUGCUCUCAAAAGGGAGGAAAGACAUGAGACAGAGAAAUGUAAUGAGCACUUGUCUUCCGGAUCAAAAGCAGCGUGGGCGUGAGCAUCAUCAGAGUCAUUCUAGCAGGCACAGGGACGCUCAUCCCGACUACAGAGCUGACUACUGUGUCCACCCCGGGAACGAAGUGUCCCAUUCUGAAGGUAUUUUGUGAUCAUGGUUCUCUCCCUGCUGAAAGCCUACAUUGCCUUCUCUCUCUCUGUGUUUGGGUACAGAGUGACCUGUUUUGUCAUCAGGUAAGUUUUCGGGACCUGAUUGGGGUUCAAAUGAGUUGAGUCUGUGUUUUUGUUUCUCUCACUGUCUCUAUCCUCCUCUUCAGACUGAUGAGCAGGUUCAGUUCAGUUCAGUUGCUUAGUCGUGUCCAACUCUUUGCAAUCCCAUGAGUCACAGCAUGCCAGGCCUCCCUGUCCAUCACCAACUCCCGGAGUCCACCCAAACUCAUGUGCAUCGAGUCGGUGAUACCAUCCAACCAUCUCAUCCUCUGUCAUCCCCUUCUCCUGACUUCAAUCUUUCCCAGCAUCGGGCUCUUUUCAAAUGAGUCAGCUCUUCGCAUCAGGUAGCCAAAGUAUUGGAGUUUCAGCCUCAGCAUCAGUCUUUCCAAUGAACAGCCAGGACUGAUCUCCGUUAGGAUGGACUGGUUGGAUCUCCUUGCAGUCCAAGGGACUCUCAAAGACUUCUCCAACACCACAAUUCAAAAGCAUCAACUCUUCGACGCUCAGCUUUCUUCACAG